This 301-nucleotide ribosomal RNA is filed under the name uncultured bacterium. Its description in RNAcentral is "partial 16S ribosomal RNA". It matches the Rfam family "Bacterial small subunit ribosomal RNA", at positions 509 to 807 of the family's 1533-position model. The record is from RNAcentral.
CAGUCGCCGCGGGAAAACGGAGGGUGCAAGCGUUAAUCGGAAUUACUGGGCGUAAAGCGCACGCAGGCGGUCUGACAAGUCAGAUGUGAAAUCCCCGGGCUUAACCUGGGAACUGCAUUUGAAACUGUCAGGCUGGAGUCUUGUAGAGGGGGGUAGAAUUCCAGGUGUAGCGGUGAAAUGCGUAGAGAUCUGGAGGAAUACCGGUGGCGAAGGCGGCCCCCUGGACAAAGACUGACGCUCAGGUGCGAAAGCGUGGGGAGCAAACAGGAUUAGAUACCCCUGUAGUCCCUGUCUAUUAUAC